This 95-nucleotide transfer RNA is filed under the name Syntrophomonadaceae bacterium. Its description in RNAcentral is "tRNA-Ser". It matches the Rfam family "tRNA". Rfam says of the family: Transfer RNA (tRNA) molecules are approximately 80 nucleotides in length. Their secondary structure includes four short double-helical elements and three loops (D, anti-codon, and T loops). The record is from RNAcentral. Lineage: Bacteria; Bacillati; Bacillota; Clostridia; Eubacteriales; Syntrophomonadaceae.
GGAGAGAUGGCCGAGUAGGCUGAAGGCGCUCGCCUGCUAAGCGAGUAGACGGGCUCAAACCUGUCUCGAGGGUUCGAAUCCCUCUCUCUCCGCCA